UUCGCCCUUAGAGUUUGAUCCUGGCUCAGGACGAACGCUGGCGGCGUGCUUAACACAUGCAAGUCGAACGAGAAUCUGCUGAAGGAGGAUUCGUCCAACGGAAGCAGAGGAAAGUGGCGGACGGGUGAGUAACGCGUGAGGAACCUGCCUUGAAGAGGGGGACAACAGUUGGAAACGACUGCUAAUACCGCAUGACGCAUAGAGGUCGCAUGAUCUUUAUGCCAAAGAUUUAUCGCUUCAAGAUGGCCUCGCGUCUGAUUAGCUGGUUGGCGGGGUAACGGCCCACCAAGGCGACGAUCAGUAGCCGGACUGAGAGGUUGAACGGCCACAUUGGGACUGAGAUACGGCCCAGACUCCUACGGGAGGCAGCAGUGGGGAAUAUUGGGCAAUGGGCGCAAGCCUGACCCAGCAACGCCGCGUGAAGGAAGAAGGCUUUCGGGUUGUAAACUUCUUUUAAGAGGGAAGAGGAGAAGACGGUACCUCUAGAAUAAGCCACGGCUAACUACGUGCCAGCAGCCGCGGUAAUACGUAGGUGGCAAGCGUUGUCCGGAUUUACUGGGUGUAAAGGGCGUGCAGCCGGGUCUGCAAGUCAGAUGUGAAAUCCAUGGGCUCAACCCAUGAACUGCAUUUGAAACUGUGGAUCUUGAGUGUCGGAGGGGCAAUCGGAAUUCCUAGUGUAGCGGUGAAAUGCGUAGAUAUUAGGAGGAACACCAGUGGCGAAGGCGGAUUGCUGGACGAUAACUGACGGUGAGGCGCGAAAGUGUGGGGAGCAAACAGGAUUAGAUACCCUGGUAGUCCACACUGUAAACGAUGAUCACUAGGUGUUGGAGGAUUGACCCCUUCAGUGCCGCAGUUAACACAAUAAGUGAUCCACCUGGGGAGUACGACCGCAAGGUUGAAACUCAAAGGAAUUGACGGGGGCCCGCACAAGCAGUGGAGUAUGUGGUUUAAUUCGACGCAACGCGAAGAACCUUACCAAGUCUUGACAUCCUGCGACGAUGCUGGAAACAGUAUUUUCCUUCGGGACGCAGAGACAGGUGGUGCAUGGUUGUCGUCAGCUCGUGUCGUGAGAUGUUGGGUUAAGUCCCGCAACGAGCGCAACCCUUAUCGUCAGUUACUACGCAAGAGGACUCUGGCGAGACUGCCGUUGACAAAACGGAGGAAGGUGGGGAUGACGUCAAAUCAUCAUGCCCUUUAUGACUUGGGCUACACACGUACUACAAUGGCGUUAAACAAAGAGAAGCGAGACCGCGAGGUGGAGCAAAACUCAAAAACAACGUCCCAGUUCGGACUGCAGGCUGCAACUCGCCUGCACGAAGUCGGAAUUGCUAGUAAUCGCAGAUCAGCAUGCUGCGGUGAAUACGUUCCCGGGCCUUGCACACACCGCCCGUCA
RNAcentral lists this ribosomal RNA (1393 nucleotides) under uncultured bacterium. RNAcentral's name for it is "16S ribosomal RNA". It matches the Rfam family "Bacterial small subunit ribosomal RNA". The record is from RNAcentral.